This 462-nucleotide ribosomal RNA is filed under the name uncultured bacterium. RNAcentral's name for it is "partial 16S ribosomal RNA". It matches the Rfam family "Bacterial small subunit ribosomal RNA", at positions 29 to 507 of the family's 1533-position model. The record is from RNAcentral.
AACAAACGCUGGCGGCGUGCCUAAUACAUGCAAGUCGAACGGGGAAAGCUUUCGGGUGAGUACUAGUGGCGCACGGGUGAGGAACGCGUGGCUAAUCUGCCUUAGAGUGGGGGAUAACUAGUCGAAAGAUUAGCUAAUACCGCAUAAGACCACGAGAGCUGCGGCUUUUGAGGUCAAAGGUUUUUCGCUCUAAGAUGAGUCCGCGUAAGAUUAGCUAGUUGGUGAGGUAACGGCUCACCAAGGCGACGAUCUUUAACUGGUCUGAGAGGAUGAUCAGUCACAGUGGAACUGAGACACGGCCCAGACGCCUACGGGAGGCAGCAGUAGGGAAUAUUGCACAAGGGAGGAGACUCUGAUGCAGCGACGCCGCGUGAGUGAUGAAGGCCUUCGGGUCGUAAAGCUCUGUCGCAGGGGAAUAACACAAUGAAGGUACCCUGUAAGAAAGGAUCGGCUAACUUCGUG